Molecule: long non-coding RNA, 227 nt
Filed under: Pelobates cultripes (western spadefoot toad)
Lineage: Eukaryota; Metazoa; Chordata; Amphibia; Anura; Pelobatidae
Source: RNAcentral
CUCAAGUGUUGUUACUCCUGUGUCUGUCUCCCUCCAAGUCAACGGUGCUACCAUCAGCUCCACCAUGCAGGCUCGCUGCCUAGGUGUUCUCUUUGACUCCGACCUCUCCUUCAAGCCUCAUGUUCAAUCUAUCGCCAAAUCCUGUCAUUUCCAUCUCAAAAACAUUGCGCGCAUCCGUCCCUACUUAACGCCAGAUGCGACUAAGGUGUUGGUCCAUUCCACUGUCC